AAGAAUUAAAACUGAUGGUGAUUGGAUGAGAGGAGGGUUUUUUGUUUACGGAGAAAUCAAUUAUUUACAAACAGUAACACAUGAGGGUGACACAGAGAAUCCCCAUUGAAUUCAAUGCACAUGCAUCACCACCAUGAAAGCAAAAUCAACCCUCUAGUCUGCUAUAUAACCUACAAACAUGAUAUUAUAAUAAUAUAAAAUAUCUACAUUCUUCCACAUCACAAACCCAGACCAGACUUCCUUACCAACAUAACCAUACGAGGCACAUUGUAUAUUUACCUUCCUUCCCACUUAAGACUCAAGGACGUACAUACUAUAAACAUCAUAGAUCAU
RNAcentral lists this long non-coding RNA (333 nucleotides) under Linum usitatissimum (flax). RNAcentral describes it as "long non-coding RNA (LUSI_LNC004848)". The record is from RNAcentral. Lineage: Eukaryota; Viridiplantae; Streptophyta; Magnoliopsida; Malpighiales; Linaceae.